CUUAUAAUAUGAUGGUAAUCAAUCAGUAAAAAAAACAACAAAUGUACACUCCUACAAUAGAGAGUGAUGAAUCAGAAUAGUGGGAGGCACUAUACUUGGAAUGUUUUGAAUGGUAUGAUAAUAUGAAGGUACUCGAACUGAUAAGAGAUAAGUACAAUAAUUUAUCUGAAAAUCAAAACAAAGGCGAUGCACACACUAAUGUGCAUGAAGUUGCAUCGUUGUUUGCAAGCAGACGAUCAAACUCAAAAGUCAUAACACAAGUAAGUACGAUUUCAAGUGUUUCAAAUACGCGAACAGAUGCUCUGGAGACGGAGAGAGGGUUUUUGCUUCCUGCUGAGAUGCGGCAAACGACAAGCAACGUACACCACGGAGUGUCACCUCUCAACUUUCGUAACGUUUUUUGCUCUGUUAUGGCACUGCAACCUGGUUAUAUGGCGGAGCCUAUCGGUAAAAUUUGGAUGAAGGAGAAGGUUAUUCAGAAAAGCCGACCCUCCCCCUCCCCCCUUGGAUUUUGUCCGGAUUUUUCUGGUAAUCGCAAGGUCAGGAAAUAUUUGCCCCGGACGUUGUGGCGCUACCACAUUGAAAAAUUAGCAAUUCUGUAAGUGGAAGAAAAAAUGAGCUAUGAAGUCGCGAUUUGGACUAAAAACGUACACUUUAAACAUAAUAAGGUUCAUAUUUCUGGCGUUCCGUCCAAUUAAACUUGCAUUGCUACGGAUAUCAUUUUGAACUUUAUUUUCUUUCACCAUUCUUAAACUAUACCAUGGUGUCUAAAAAGGUUCUCAAACUUUAGCAAAAAGUUCUUAAACUUAAACACACUGCGCUUAAAAUUUCAUCCUCCUCUUCAAAGGGAAUUUUGCCCCUGACUAAAAGUUUGCGAGGGAAAAAAAAUUGAGUCAAAUGAAUUUUCAAACGAAUGCUAUUGAAGAGACAAAAUAAAAGAAACAAUUGGAAAGUACAAUUUAUUCAUAUAACACAACAUGAACAUUUCGAAGGAUAUUGAUGAAUCACAAGUAUGAAGAAGGUAAGAAUGAGUCUUCGGAGGGUACAAAGAAAAAUGAACACAGGGAAAGAAACCUCAGUUCUGUUAAAGCUAUACAUACAUUUCUCUUUUAGCAAGUUGCUCACAGAUAUGAAAACGUAUCAAUAGAAAAUCUUUGUGAUAUGGAUUUUCAUUAAAUCUAGAUCAAGGCAUACAUAAAAGGAAAGGGAGGGGGGAUAAAAGAGUAGCCCCCGCAAAAUAUAAUUAUGAAGUAAGGCUGUGAUAUC
RNAcentral lists this long non-coding RNA (1266 nucleotides) under Bemisia tabaci. Its description in RNAcentral is "lncRNA ENSSSA1UGG012316". The record is from RNAcentral. Lineage: Eukaryota; Metazoa; Arthropoda; Insecta; Hemiptera; Aleyrodidae.